Long non-coding RNA from Anas platyrhynchos (mallard), 478 nucleotides. RefSeq lists it as uncharacterized. The record is from RefSeq and is a predicted model, not a curated record. NCBI's taxonomy places the organism in Eukaryota, Metazoa, Chordata, Aves, Anseriformes, Anatidae.
GCACACGUGUAAUCAGGCUCCAAAUUGCAGCAGUCGUUUUUAAUUUACGUUUUAUCACCCAGCCUGUUGUUUCCACUUCACACCAAACAAAGGGGUUUUGUGCCCCAAAUGUUGUUUGCUUCUGAUUAAACUGGUCAAGUGAAGGACACCACCUCUGUCAAAUCUCACGGACGCAUACCCAGGUGCUCACAUUGUGUUACUUCCCUCUGACUUCUCAUUUCAUCACCUGCCGAUGCUUACAAAGCUCCCACAAGUUUGUCUGUAUCAGACUUUCUGCCAUGACUACAACUUCCAACAGGCUGACCAGCUGAGGAUUUAACUGCUUUGGCACCGUACUCUGCUCUAACUGUUGUGGUUCCACCUGGAAAUAUUUAAAACAAAGCAAAAGGGUAUUCCAGAGACCAGCAGAGUUACAAAUAAAGAAGUAUUUGAGAAGCAGGCAAAAGUCCUCAUGAAAACUGCAGGUCAGUAAAACGGA